GACGAACGCUGGCGGCGUGCUUAACACAUGCAAGUCGAGCGGAGCGGCGAACGGGUGAGUAACGCGUGAGUAACUGACCCCCUCUCUGGGAUAACAGUUGGAAACGGCUGCUCAUACCGGAUAGUGGGGGAUGACUCGCGUCCAAUCGGCUGGUUGGUGGGGUAUUGGCCUACCAAGGCGACGACGGGUAGCCGGCCUGGGAGGGGGACCGGCCACAUUGGUCUACGGGAGGGACCAGAAGCCUACGGGAGGCAACAGUGGGGAAUAUGACACAAUGGGGCAAAGUCUGAUGCAGCGGUCCGGGUGCGUGAUGCCGGCCUGCGGGUGGUAAACCGCUUUCAGCCAUGACGCGGUAGUGGCAGAAGAAGCACCGGCUAACUACGUGCCAGCAGCCGCGGUAAUAC
Molecule: ribosomal RNA, 404 nt
Filed under: uncultured bacterium
Lineage: Bacteria
Description: partial 16S ribosomal RNA
Rfam family: Bacterial small subunit ribosomal RNA
Source: RNAcentral